This 443-nucleotide ribosomal RNA is filed under the name uncultured bacterium. RNAcentral's name for it is "bacterial SSU rRNA". It matches the Rfam family "Bacterial small subunit ribosomal RNA", at positions 958 to 1398 of the family's 1533-position model. The record is from RNAcentral.
AACGCGAAGAACCUUACCUGGGCUUGACAUGCUGGUGAAAGCCGGUGGAAACAUCGGCCCCUCUUCGGAGCGCCAGCACAGGUGCUGCAUGGCUGUCGUCAGCUCGUGUCGUGAGAUGUUGGGUUAAGUCCCGCAACGAGCGCAACCCUUGUCUCAUGUUGCCAGCGGGUAGUGCCGGGGACUCGUGAGAGACUGCCGGGGUCAACUCGGAGGAAGGUGGGGAUGACGUCAAGUCAUCAUGCCCCUUAUGUCCAGGGCUUCACACAUGCUACAAUGGCCGGUACAAAGGGCUGCGAUGCCGUGAGGUUAAGCGAAUCCUUUAAAGCCGGUCUCAGUUCGGAUCGGGGUCUGCAACUCGACCCCGUGAAGUCGGAGUCGCUAGUAAUCGCAGAUCAGCAACGCUGCGGUGAAUACGUUCCCGGGCCUUGUACACACCGGAGUGC